Long non-coding RNA from Misgurnus anguillicaudatus (oriental weatherfish), 3916 nucleotides. RefSeq lists it as uncharacterized. The record is from RefSeq and is a predicted model, not a curated record. Lineage: Eukaryota; Metazoa; Chordata; Actinopteri; Cypriniformes; Cobitidae.
GGUUGGGUAGGAUGGGUAUGGGGGGAGAAUAUAAGGAGGUGAAGGAAACAGGCAUUGCAUUAAGCAAUAUUUCAUUGUCUCUAUUAUAUAUAUAUAUUUUUUUCUUCUUUUUCAAUGAUAAUGAUGUAUAAUUAUUGUAGUGUUUCCCCCUUUUUUUCUGUUUCUUUUUCCUUCUUGUAAAGGUGGUGUUGUCACCUCCUACAUCUCCAUAAUCAUAGUUAUAACAUAAAUAAAGAAUUGAUCACAAAAAAAACUUAGCAAUUAUGCUAAUUCUAAAUCAUAACUUUAUUUUGAGUGGACAAGCAGUUGUAUAAAACUUCGUAACUGCAUUGCUUUAACAUCUGUAACAAGCAAGAGGAGUAUAGUAUAGAGGAGUUUCUCAUCCCGCCCUUAGAGAACAAGAUUAUUUGAAAUAAAUAAAACAUAAAUUCAAAAGAAAAUAUAUAUAUAAAAAAUGUUAAUAACAAUGUAUUUUACCUUUCAAAUCUGAGAGCAAUUCUGGCCCGAGUACGACCCCGUCACCCAAACCGUGGCAUUGGUUUUAACCCGACUGGACCCGAAUGUAAACUGACGUGUGUGCAGUCUGCAGCCCCGAUGCUCCAUUUGUUUAUAUGACGAUAACACCAAGGUAACCGCUAAAAUUUACAUUUUAAAAAUAUCUGACAUGUCUGUCUGAACGAAAAUUAACCUAUCGCCAGCCACACAAUGUCGCAAGCGCUCUUGCAAACAGAGGAGAGGUUUGAAAAGGACUUUGACACACACAUGCGAGAGUUCAGGGCUUCUCGGGUCCAUUCGGCAAAAACACAUUCAUUUUAAAUAACCCGAGACCUGAUUAUUGUACCCGACCCGUGUCCGAGGCAUGCCUGAAACUUUUAGACCCGCACCUGAUCAAGUCUCGGGUCGGACCUUGGGUUUUCGGACUCCGUGAAGACCUCUUCUUCACAUAAGCCCAAACACGGGACUAUGCUUACUGUGAGGAUCCGCAGGCCUAGCGCCCCCUCCUGGUUGAGAGUAUUUACGUCCUAAUUCAAAAAUCAUCAUUUUAAAAGUAUUUGAUUAAGUAUAAUAUGGUCCAGCGGGCCGUAUUAGAAUGUACCCCGGGCCGUGUGCGGCCCUCGGGCCGCCAGUUGCUCAUCCCUGAUGUAGUGGGUGAAAGGGAUUGUUCAGAAUUGAAUUAAGUUUUGACAGUAUUCCUCUCUCAGCCAGAACAUGAACAGAGUCCAGCUCCAUACCAAGUACAAAGCCAGCCCUUCUAAUCAAUUUGUCCAGUGUAUUUCUGUCUGCCACCUUCAUACUAAUUCCCCAACAGACCACUGCAUAAAAAAUGAUGCUAAACACCACAGACUCAUAAAACUUCCACAGCAUGGUAUAGCAGACUAUACCAUUUAGAUUAAUCAGCUAGUUCCUCUUUCAAUCCUACUAGAUAUUCAUGUGUUUUAGUCACUUAAGUAUGCAUACUGUUAUUUUAGUUAUUAUGAAGACUGCUGUCAGGGGUUUGAUGAAUACAUUUAUUAAUGCAAUUGUUGAUAUAAGAAAUGGCUGAUGAAGUUGAAAGGCGGUUUCAAUUAAGAAUAUAUGUAGACUAGCAUUAAGGCAUGAGAAAUAUCUGACUGAGAGUUAUAGAUUCUCAGGUGAUAUAAUAAAUGUCAGUCUAGCACUGAAAUCCCUUCUACAAGAUUGCAAGACUGCAGGGCAGUAACCGUGAAACAGGCAUUCGUCUGUUACAGCUUUCCCUAUUGUCAUUGAAUGCUGUGGAUUGCACCCACCCCUGUGCCAGAUAUGCAACUUUUUUAAUGUUAAAAUUAGUACAGACGAUACAAUAUGUCAGCAGACACUACCUUAUGUGUAGAUUUAUUUCUGCAGUCAAGUCUCCAGCAUGCAACAUUUUCUUAAUCUUGAUUUUCUGAAAGUGAUGGAUGGUCCAAAUUAUUAUGCACAUGCUAUUUUUGUUUGUUUUUAAAAUGAAGUCAAUAAGUUUAUAUUUAUAUAUUAAAUUGUAUUUUAAUCUCAAUAGUUAUAUGACAGUGUGCAUGUUAUUCUAUUUUUAAUACAUAAUUUGAAAUAAUUAAAAUGUCAAAAGAUACUUUAAUACUUAAAAAAAUAUCCAAAUUAUGCUUUUCUAAAUUAUUAUGCAAAAUGCACUUUAUCAAAAUUAAGGGUGGGUUGCACCAACAAGGAUUAAAUUAAGCAGAGUUUAGAGCUAAUCUAGGGUUUGUUGAUCUCAGUUUAAUUUUAAUUCAAGUUGUGUUGCACCCAGAGCCGGAUUAAAUAAAUGGACUACACUAGGCAGGCUGCAUUUUUUGCCCCCCCCCCCCAUCGAGGUUAUUUAUGAAUUGAAAUCUGAAACUUACCAAAGUUACUAAUAAAAGUGAAUUCACAUUUUACAUAGCCUAGUCUUUGCUUACAAAUUGGUUGUUUGUAUACCAAAUUAAGUCAUGUGUUGUAUAUUAACCAGUCUAUCAGACAAUUUUUUGCUAAAUUUAUUAUUUAUACGUCAUUACACGGCUCUAUUAAAUGCUAUUAAAUUAUCCUCACCUUAUCCAUUGGGAGUGUCAUUGUUAAGGCAGUAGUACAAGUAAAUAACCAAUAGGUGUCAGUAAUCCGCGGGAGAGCUUCGCUGCAUAUUUCUCUUCAAGAUUGAGAAUCGCAACGAAAUCCUCAUCGAGCAACACGUCCACUCCACUGAGGUAAAUGUCCUCAAAACACUGGUUAUUUAUGUUUCAGUUAUAUGAAUUAUAUAAUAACAGUUUUUAUAUUAUGUAUAACAGUUUUAUCUCGAAGUAAUGGUAGUGCUAAACUCUAAUGUAUCGUUUCUGAGGCUGUUAGAUUUUUCUUUACGCUAUUCACGUUUGUGAAGUGAAUUUAAAGCACAUAUUGCUUGCAUUUGACUUAGCUAGCCACUAUUCAUUGGUUUUGUUAUCAUGUUUGGUAUCUAACGUGAUUUUUGUGGGGCUUAAAGAAAAAAAAUCUUGACCCCGCUAGUUCUGCCAUUGCAGUCAUGAAUUAUUAUGCAAGGAACUGUUUUUUUUUUUGCCUCGUUAUUAUACGCAAACAUGCCUUAUAUAACGUAGGGAAAUGAUCGUUUGUCCUUUAUUUAUUUAUUUUUUGCAGCAACCAUGUCUGUGUCCUUAAAGGAACUCUGUCAGGUACAGAUUAGAACUAUGAACUUGAAAAUCAACCAUUCUGAUGACUGGCGUCCCCAUCCGAGUCACCACCUCAGACAACAACAGUCACAAACUCACAAACACAAAUACACUCAGUAAUGGGCUUAAUAAAGUCUGUGUUAACCUAUGAUAUCAGUUAUUGAUGUAUUUUAAAUAUUUACGUAUUACUAGGCUUAUCAUACAUGCAUUGAAGUUUUAAAAUGUAUCUAAUAUAAUACUGUAAUUAAAUUGAAUGUUUUGGAUACCACCAUUAAAUUAUUUUGUGCAUGUAAAACACAAGCAGCAAUGUUUUUAUUGAAUUCAAUUUUGAAUUAAAUUGAAUGUUUUGCAUAACACCAUUAAAUUAUUUUGUGAAUGUUAAACACAAGUAAAUGUUUUAUUUAUUGGAGAUAAAAUGGCUGUUUAAUUAAUAUAAUACUUCUGUUUGUUAGGCACUGUAAUGCUUCUGUGCAGAAGGAAGCCCGUGAGCCACGAAGAUGCAUCCCAGAGUUGAUGUUUGAAUAUGAAUUAGAGUGCUGUCCACCUCACAGAUCAUUCAUAUAAUGAUGCUUCAUAGACUCCUGAGACUAAGGUACUCUACAGUACAUAUCUUCCAGAUGUCAUUUUGGCCCCCUCAAGGGACUUACCAUCUUACUUCCCAAUAUUCCAGUCCAAACCAGCCUUGUUUGAACAUGGUGGCUAUUCACCAACAAUCCAGAAUACACUAUUUAGUGUAUUAUGGCAUGUCGAUGAAUAAAACUGUUUGAAAACUU